GAGGGCAGGACCUUGCCAGUCAGGGCCCAGUCACACAGUACCUCAGUGAGGCAAGCAGAACAGGUGUAGGGGUGGCAGCCAGGGUCAGCCAAGAGUCCAGGUCAUCAGAAUAGUUAACAGCAAUGAGGCAGCUCUGAGGUCAAGCCAGGGACACAAGUCAGCAAAUCAGGAUCAGGCCUGGUGAGAGAAACCAGGGCCAGACACAGCCAGUGAUCAACAGGCAGGUCCAUGGUGAUGGGGCAGAGCUGAGGCCAGGACAUCAGCCCAUGUGUCUAGAUCAACAGCUGUCAGGAUCAGUCACACACAUGUAUAGGCAGGAGCACGGCUGUGGCUAAGAAGGAGACCAACACCCCUACUGCAUAGUUCAGGUAGGCAGUGAAUGUCCCAGGCAGGGCUUAAAUGGAGCUCCCAGGCCCAUUGGCAGGGAGUGGGCUUGGAGGCCCAAGUGAAGCUGAUCAGAGCCAUUAAGGCCUAUUGGUGCCCUCAGGGCCCUGACAAAGUUGUUCACCUGCAAGGGAGUUGGUAGGUAGGUUUGAUCUGCAGCUUCUCCCCAUAUUAGUGGUUUCUGAUAUGCUUAUGCUGUGUCCUGGGAGUCAUGGACAGUUUCCAGCUGUAAAAUACUCAGGCUCUUCUCUCUCUUAUACCCAGGGCAACUCCACAUGCAUGAAGAGCAUCAUAUUCUGCUACUGUGCUGUAGGUGGAUACCCUGAGACAGAGCUUGAUGCCACCAGGAUGUCCAGCAGGCUUAGCAACCAAGGGCUGCGACAAUGGGCUGCCUAAGGAUGCGUUGCCUUUCAGCCCAGCCGUCCUCUCAGGGGUGUUGGGAAAGCUCCUCGCCGUCCCCCUGCUGCCCUGCCUGGCUCCAGACCUGACAUCCCCGUGCCCCCUCCUCCGUCUCCUGCCUGCCUCUCAGAUGCCUCUUUCCUUGCGUCCUCUCUCCUCUAACCUGCUGUUCUUGCCUUUCUUUUAGGGCUGCCUAAGGAUGCGUUGCCUUUCAGCCCAGCCGUCCUCUCAGGGGUGUUGGGAAAGCUCCUCGCCGUCCCCCUGCUGCCCUGCCUGGCUCCAGACCUGACAUCCCCGUGCCCCCUCCGGCAGGAUGGCCCAGGCUGGGGCGGUUGUCCGCUUCUGCCCCCAAGAGGGCUGCGCCGCCUCGCCCCCGCCGUUCCCCCGCAACGUGGACCGGGGGCCCCGGCUGGGGGCCGCGCGC
This 1207-nucleotide long non-coding RNA is filed under the name Struthio camelus australis. Its description in RNAcentral is "lncRNA (ENSSCUG00000006479.1)". Lineage: Eukaryota; Metazoa; Chordata; Aves; Struthioniformes; Struthionidae. The record is from RNAcentral.